UACGGGGGGGGCAAGCGUUGUUCGGAAUUACUGGGCGUAAAGGGCUCGUAGGCGGCCGACUAAGUCAGACGUGAAAUCCCCAGGCUCAACCUGGGAACUGCGUCUGAUACUGGAUGGCUUGAAUCCGGGAGAGGGAUGCAGAAUUCCAGGUGUAGCGGUGAAAUGCGUAGAUAUCUGGAGGAAUACCGGUGGCGAAGGCGGCAUCCUGGACCGGCAUUGACGCUGAGGAGCGAAAGCCAGGGGAGCAAACGGG
This 253-nucleotide ribosomal RNA is filed under the name uncultured bacterium. RNAcentral's name for it is "partial 16S ribosomal RNA". It matches the Rfam family "Bacterial small subunit ribosomal RNA", at positions 524 to 776 of the family's 1533-position model. The record is from RNAcentral.